This 399-nucleotide long non-coding RNA is filed under the name Homo sapiens (human). Its description in RNAcentral is "HSALNT0356921". Lineage: Eukaryota; Metazoa; Chordata; Mammalia; Primates; Hominidae. The record is from RNAcentral.
CCUUUCAUUCAUUGAUAGCUUCGAGAAACUUUCAGGUUUCCUCACUGUGAAUUAUGAAUAUGAACUAUAUUAAAAUUACUGUAACCCAAUGUGCUUCAUGCACUAUCUGGCAUCCAAAGGAUCCUCUUUCGCCCAUGUUGGGGUUUUCGAAACUGGAAAGAAGACUGAUUUCUGCAGGUGCAUCUUCUCCAGCAAGUUCUUCAGCAUCCUUUCCAGAAGCAUUCGACAGCCAAGGAAGCAGGCUACGCCUCACCUACUCCUUCCUGGGCUAAAGAUCUCAGACUUAGUUGCUUAAUUUGGGAAAAAUAAAUUAAAGAAGUCUUCUAUCAUUAUACGCAACAUAGAAUAAUCUGUUUAAGAAAUUAUUUUUGAUCCUCCACAUUUUGAUGCCAAUCCCAC